This 510-nucleotide ribosomal RNA is filed under the name uncultured Ceratobasidiaceae. RNAcentral describes it as "eukaryotic LSU rRNA". The stretch from base 148 to 301 matches the Rfam family "5.8S ribosomal RNA". Lineage: Eukaryota; Fungi; Basidiomycota; Agaricomycetes; Cantharellales; Ceratobasidiaceae. The record is from RNAcentral.
CCCCCAAGGGCAUGUGCACGCCUUCUCUUUUCAUCCACACACACCUGUGCACUUGUGAGACGGAGGAUUAAUUUUCCUCCGUCUACUAAUCACACAAACUCAUUGUAAUUGAACUGAAUGUAAUUGAUGUAACACAUCAUUUGAACUAAGUUUCAACAACGGAUCUCUUGGCUCUCGCAUCGAUGAAGAACGCAGCGAAAUGCGAUAAGUAAUGUGAAUUGCAGAAUUCAGUGAAUCAUCGAAUCUUUGAACGCAUCUUGCGCUCCUUGGUAUUCCUUGGAGCAUGCCUGUUUGAGUAUCAUGAGCAAAUCUCAAAGUCAAUUCCUUUUGUUAAUUCAAUUGGUUUUGCUUUGGACUUGGAGGUCUUGCAGAUUUCACAGUCUGCUCCUCUUAAAUCCAUUAGCUGGAUCUCAGUAAUUAUGCUUGGUUCCACUCGGCGUGAUAAGUAUCACUCGCUGAGGACACUGUUAAAAAGGUGGCCAGGAAAAUACUGAUUGAAACCGCUUCUAA